This 5860-nucleotide long non-coding RNA is filed under the name Gallus gallus (chicken). The record is from RNAcentral. Lineage: Eukaryota; Metazoa; Chordata; Aves; Galliformes; Phasianidae.
CUGGGGCAAUCACGUGGAAUGCCAAAAAAAGAAACCUUUGUGCUGAGGUGAAGGGAUCGGAGCCCAGGCUGCAGCGGGCGGCUGCAGUGUUUCCUGCAAAAGCCCACUGAGAGCUCACGCUGUGACACAGCUGGAAAAACAUGUUCCCAGCCUGCACGCAGAAGCAAAGCUCUAAAACAGAGGAGCUUCAAGCUGACAAACAGCCCCGCUUGAAGGAGUUAAGCUGAAGAGCACUCAUCACUAAAAGCAUAACAUCUGCUGCAUGCCAGCUACUUUCCCUAAGUGUAAGAGGGCUUUAGUUAUGGCAUUGUCAUAUGCUACUUGACUGUAGAAAGACAGCUUUGAAAGUUACUUCUUUUGUGUAUAUCUUAAUGACUGUGGGAUACAAGCAGCAGCAGGACAAGUUCCAGUAGAUACUUGGAAGCCAAUCUUGUAUCAGACAUCAGUUACUUAACCAGGAAAAAUAACUGCUCCCCUACAGGUUGACCCAUUGCUCCUUUCCCCAGUUCUUUCCCUGUUUGCAGUAAUGGUGCCCUCCGCACAGAACCCAUCCCCUUAGAUCCAGAGCAGGAAGGAAAAAAAAGGAAAAAAACCCAGACCUUAAGUUGACUACUUGAUUUGGGACCAGUUUCCCUUGAAAUCAAGAGAUUACUUUAUGGAAUGCAAUACACCUUACUGUAACAGACAUUAGAAGUAUUCACUCCAACUAUUCACCUAGUAGGAUUAAAAAAAAAAAAAAAACACCGAAAUUCUGUAGGAUUAUGGAAAAAGGAGAAAGUCAGAAAUAUUCUCUUGAACUAGGAACUGUAGUGGAAAGUGAUCCCAUGCACCUGCCUCAAGGCUGGAACAGAACACAACACCUGAGCAGUAGGAGCAGAAGCCACCCGCUGUGCCUACUUUGAAGCGCUGCCCACCCGACCAAUGUUUUAGGAUCUCCCUGCAGCACAGCUGGUGGGAGGAAUCACUGCUUCCCCUCCUGCAGUUCUCUGUGCUUUCAAACCCUUUCUCCAGAAGCAAAGAAUAGAAAUAAUUCAGGAAUGAAAGCUGCUUAGAAAACUCAAGGGAUUUUAAUGACCGAAUGCAAAAGGAACUACUCGGAUUCAAGUAGCAAACAGGUAUUUUGCUAGCAGAGCACAAGCUGAAGAUUUUAAAGAAGCCACAGACAUGAGAAGCCCAACAUACAGCAGUUUGAGGAAGAAGGCAUUUUACACGAGAGUUUAUCAACACAAAACUGUUUAAUAUUUAUUAAAUGACACAAAAUACCUAGAUAACAGACUCACUCUCUGAAAGGACAUGUAUUUACAUUAUUUACCAACUUUAAGAAAGACUCUCUGUACCCAUAUCAGACUUGUUAUGAAACAUUAAAAAGGUUUUGCUGCUUUUUGCAUCAACGGAUGCAAUGGUGACACAUGCCCUGUUUGCAAGUCUGCAUAAACUCUAACUUUUUGAUGCAGUGAAAAAGCACAAUUUUAUAUUCCAGUAGCCGAGUGAAGAGGCUUCUGAGAAGUAACAGGGUUAGUUGUUUUCUUCUUCCCACUCCAGACAUACUCUGAAGAAUUGUUAUACAAAAAGUAUAUUACAUUUUUGAAUGCUGCUGUACUCUUACAAUUUUAGUGUAACUUUCCAAAGAAAAUAUUCUUCCUAUUGUAUGAAAUCACUAAAAACCAACCCAACAAAGUGGUAUUCGGACGUGUCUUCUGAUGUACUGUUUCUUUUUUUUUUUUUUUUUUUAAAGGAAAAAAAAGAAAGAAGAAAGCAUUAGGGCAAAUGAUAUGCUUAGGAAAAAUCAACCAGCUGACUGAUAAGAAAAGAGCAGAGACCAAAAUAUGAAGCACAGCUAAAGCAACUUAAUUUGCUAGGGUUUUUUUUUUUUUUUUUUUCCUUUUUAUUAACUAUUUACUUUGGCACCUUUGUGUAAACUAUAGAACAAAACAAUGUUUACAACACAUUUGCAAUUACAGCAUUUAAACAAAAUGGUCACUUCUUAAACCAGCCAAGACAAAAAAAUAUUCCAUUUACGGGUAUAAAGAUUAAAAAAACUUAAAAUAUAUAUUUCUAAGAAUAAACUGCAAUUUCUUAUGAACAAGGUGCUAUAAACUGCAUGCAAGAGUCAAGAUUAAAAAUGUGUGGCCAAACAGACAAGCUGUGUUAUAGCCAAAUGAGCAGUGGUCCAAGCCCACUUGUUUUUUCAUACAGAGAUAUAUAUGGCUCAAUAGGCAGGCACAUGAUCCCGGCAAGAGGUUGCAGAGUUGUACAGCCGGACAAUAAAUCUUGGCUGCAGCUUUGUCAUGAACGAGGAAUGAGUAAGACCUUAGCAGAAGAGAUGAAGUUCUCGGGGAAAAGCCAUGAAGAAUGAGAAGCCUUCUCCCCUCCCUCUUGCUCCUCUACUCAGCCCAGUCAGUGUUCUCAAUGUCUGCUCUUUGGGUUGCUUUAACUGGAUUGCCACUCGGGGCUGCCUCAGAUCACCAAAGUCUUAUGAAAGCUGAGGACGUUUUUAAUGUAAUAAUUUCCGCAUUUAAGUUACUGAAGUGGAUGGGAUAAAAAUUAAACAGGCCCCUGCACCUGUCUGCUUAGUCUGACUGAUUGCAACAAGCUUAUCCGAUGAGGGAGGUUUUUACCAGAAUAGGUAUUUUUAAUGUGCGAUGGUGUUUGAUUGAUUUGCUACAACCAAGUGAAGGGAACCAGCUCAACAGCAAUUUUUAUAGUCUCCUGUCUCCCAAAGAGUUUAUGUUCCUUCUUCAAAAUACCAUUUUAAAAGGAAUCUUUUAUUGGCUAAAAAUACAAAACACAUACAAGAAAAAAGAAUGUUGAAUGGAAAACACAGAUGGGUUUUUUUUCGAGGGGGGGGAUUCUUUUCUCCCCAGUGGAUUGCCAUUUGAAAUAAUACUUAAAGACUUGGCUCUGUUUCUCUGUUUGCAGGAGCAAUCUUCAAGUUUUUUUUAACCAAAUAAUUCUAUUAAUUUCUUUUUUCCAGAGACAAUGGUGGCCCCGGAUGCCUACCAGUAGUUACGCUGUAACAGUGUCAAAGGUUAAGGCAGAUUUUCUGCAGAUCAUGUAAAGAACUGUACUACAGUUACUAGAGGGUGACAGUAAGUAAUUCAGUAGGAGAAAAAAACCACCUGCUCCAUCUGUCAACUGAGGACUGCAUACAAAGAAGCCUGAGAAAACUUCCCAACAAGAAAAUACAGAAUUAAACAAUGGACCAAAAAAGCAGUAAGGAUGGGAGACAUCCAAUACAAAACAGACACACACACCCCCUCUCUCACAUGUAGGCCCCUGAAAGUGGGAUCACAGUGAUAAAAGUUAGAGAUCAUAGAGCGGUGUGAAAGACAUCUGUCAUAUCAGGGGACUCUCCUCUUCAGACCCAGAGUCAAAUGGAAUUAUGAAGACCAGAUACUUUCUUGCAGCUUCCUGCACAUCUUACUAAAUAACAUGCAAAGAGUUCAACAGCAUUCUUCUUAAAAUGUAAAUAGUACUCUUUAAAUGGGCAUGUUAACCACUGAAAGAAGUCCACUCUACUAUACUCCUCCAUUACACUGCUUUCAUUCAGUCAUCGGUAGUAUAAAAAGUCAAUUAACGGGAUUAACAGGCUAGUUUAUCCACUGGCAAUUGCGUAUGACACCAAGUGUGCAGUAAAACAAAGGCCAACAUAUGUUUACGCAAUAUAGUUGUACUGAUUUGGGUUUUCUUUAUCUCUUUCCAUGUAGUCUCUGUCAAUUAAGGAUUCUAUUCUCUUCUUAAGGUCAGCAGGCUGUAAAUUAAAGCAGAUGUCAGCAUUAUUAUUUUGUAGUCGACGCUUCUCAAUCCUACCUAAGCCAAAUAUCCAUACUGCUUGAGAUGACUGAUGAACCAUAUUAUAACUUACAUCUCUCAACACAUCAAAGCUUCUUAAACUUGCAGUGUGCAAUUAAAGAGAAAGUUACAAGAUUAGACAGAAUGCACCAUAUAUCUGAGCUCAGAUGUUAUCACAGAAUCACAGAAUCUAUGUUAUCUAAGCUAUGUCACUGUCUUUUGGAAAAUCAGUUUGCACUUGUACACAGUAAGCUAUUCUUUCUCAUAUUGCAUCUGUUACUACUAACAAACUCCCAGUUCUGAAAACCUUUACUAUGUUGUACUAAUGAAGAGGUUAACAUUCAGAUAAACUAAUGAAACCGACACUUUAAAAAAUCCUGAAAUUACGUACUUUUUGUUCCUUCUAUCAGGAAAGGGAACACAUGUUUCAGAUAGAAGCACUGUUUAACUGAGAACAGGUCAAGGAAUGUGAAGAGAGGUAAUACAUUUUGAAAACAAAAGAAAUCAGUACUACACCUUUACUGGGAAUUUAAGCUGGUUGUAGACCUCUGACACAAGCAAGUUAUGACUCAGUGUUUUUCGCAUCUUCAUAAUUCGAACAAUAGCGGCAUCAAUCUGGUAUUGCCGGUCCUGGAAUACUCUCUCUGUAGUGCUUGCCUGUUCCUCUACCUGAUGGAUCCAUUUAAAAAGAGUUUUAAAGAGAACAUCAGAACUGUUGAAUCCAUUCUUCUUCAUAUCUAAGACAAGUCUUAUUGUGAGACACUAAAAGGUCUACUGUAAAAUACUGGACAUAAAUCCUACAAAAUAUGGAAGUCCACUGUCUUAAGAACUUGUACUCAAGAGCAAAAUCUUUGCACAACUUUUACAUUGGUUGGCAAAUUCACAGUGAAUUUGUUUCUAUGUUCACAAAUCAGUAAAGGUCUAGGGAAUGAUUAAGGGUGAACAGAACAUUCAUACUUGGAACCUCUGCUAAUCAACCUUAGAGAUGUCAAGGAUGAUCGAUAUCUAAGUUAGCACAGAAGCUCACGUUUAAAUCUCCACUAUUAAGUGGAGAUAUCAUCCAAAGAGAUAUCAUCCAAAAUACAUGUGCAUCCUUCACACAGAUACCAUUAUGUACAUUACAACCGAGAGGAAUAAAGCUUGUAAAUGGGCAAGCAAUGAGAUACUUAACCCAAGAAUAAAAAACCUAGAGUAUUAGAAAAAACAACAAAAAAUAUACCGUUUCUUUCAUCUGAAUUUGGUUGAUUUUUAUCCUGAACAGCUUAUGUCUGAAAUCAUCAUUGCAUGUGAAUUUAUCACCAUCUUCCACAUCUUUUCCUUUGGGGCUCUUUGUCAGUACUCUAGCUUUGCCACAAGCCAGAGACUGAAGUGUCCUUCGCAGCUCUCCAUCCUCUAAAGCAGAAACAAGUUGUUCAGUAUUUUCACUCAAGAGCACACUUGAAGCAGUCAGUGUUUUUAGUACCAACCUAUCCCAGUGGCUUGCUUUAUCUCCUCUAGACUGAACUCCUCUCCUUCAUUAAACAUGAGCAGCACUAGUGUCUGGAACAAGGAGACCUGAAGUUCUUUUUUGCCCUAUCACAGAGGAAAUAACAGACAUCAUUAGGUUGUUCUCAGGGGGGAUCAACUCACUCUUCCAUGUAAAUUAUUUCACUUACAGGAUGCAGUUGUUCCUUAUUCAUUUUAGAAUAUGAAAGAAUAAAAGUUAUUGUUCUCCUCAUGUUUACUAUGAAAUGCAGAGCAAGACAGAGGUCAGAUUAGACUACCAUACCCACUGACAAAAUUUGCUAAUGUAUGUAUCAAAUUUAGACACAUUCAAAUCCAAAGCGUGCUUAAAAUUACAAUUUGAAAGACCUUUAAUCCAAACUGUAAGACGAGCAUUAGUCUAAAAACAUAGUUGCUAUUACUAUCUCUUUAAUAACUAAGUUGGAUAACACUUGUUUUAUCAUUAACAUUAUGAAAAACAAAACUUAGUAAACAUUCCCAGCUUUCAAGGGAAAUCAUCACAAGAUAUAUUCAUGCCCACGAAGAAAUGAUAAAGGGAAAUACUGGGAAACUCUCUAAAAACUGC